Molecule: long non-coding RNA, 1735 nt
Organism: Homo sapiens (human)
Lineage: Eukaryota; Metazoa; Chordata; Mammalia; Primates; Hominidae
Product: long intergenic non-protein coding RNA 923
Source: Ensembl
CCAGGUAAUGUGAUUGGUACUACCACUGAUGUAUGGAACCCACAGUAGACAAUGUCAUGUUGGAUUCUCAAGGCAAAGUGGAACUGGGGUUUCUGUUGGUGAUUGGCGAGGAACAGAUUGCACUUUCCUGAACUGAAAUCUAAUGAAUGCCACAAAGUGAAAAUAAACUGGAGACACUUCAAAAAAGAAAAAGAAAAGAAAACUCACUUCAAGAAACCGAAGCUUUCCUACCCCCCUUCUUUUCCCCUCACUUGCAGCCAACUAAGCUCCCCACACAUUCUGAUCGUCUCCCUGCACAGUGUCUGUGGUGGUGACAACUGAUUCAUGUGUUCAUUUGCAUAUCCCCCGGUGCCAGCAGCAGAAUACAGAACGGGCCUCCUGUGCCGGCAGCCAACACAGCACUGGCAAAUCAGGGAGCUGUCAGAAACAGCUGUCCAUUAACGGAGUUUGUGGAAACAACCAGGAGCUGUUUGAAAAUGCUAGGUGGUAGAAUUUAAUUGGAGUAGCAACUGUUCAAAAUUAAGAUUAAAAGGACCAGUCAGUCAACGUGGAUUUCGUGACACCUUAAAAAUAACGUUUCAGGUUUGAUUAAUGCUGCAAGAAGUUUGCACAUUUCUCUCCUUUGCUGAUAGGGCCUGCGUGCUGAUAGUUGAUUCAGUGAAUAUAUGUAGCAGUGAUAGCUCAUGGGCUCCAGAGGUCAGAUAUCUUAUUCUCUAGGCUGAAACCCUUGUUGCUUUAAGGAAACAGGAUUUUAAUAGGAAUCACAUGCAGAUUGACUACAGGGAGCCAAGCGGUAGUGGAAGAAGCAAAGUUGGCGGUUUUGGAGACGGACGUCUAUCUAUCCACAGUGGGACAAAAAUGAAGGUUAUUGAAAAGAAUCAUGCUUGGUGGAAGAAGUAAUUACAUUUUUUUUUCAAAUCUCAGAGGAAUAAUGCUUUUAUAUUUCCUGCGAUGACCCAAUUUGCACUACGAUAUGCUCCCUUAAAUGUGAUUUAAACAGAAGAGAGGACCACCCCGCCAACCAAAUGUCCAGGUCCUAUUCCAUGGAACCUAUGAACAGGUUGUCCCACAUUGCAAAAGGGACUUCACAGAUGUCGGUUUCAAAAGGACUGGUUGAAAACUAAGAUCUUAAAUCAAUUCAUCGUGUUGGGAAUGGAGCAGGAUAGAGAUCGUUCCUGAAGGCCAUAUUCUAAACUUUGUCUGGUACCAAAACAGAGAUAUAGAUCAAUGGAAGAGAACAGAGGCCUCAGAAAUAGCGCUGCGUAUCUAAAACUAUCUGAUCUUUUGACAAACCCGACAAAAACAAGCAAUGGGGAAAGGAUUCCCUAUUUAAUAAAUGGUGCUGGGAAAACUGGCUAGCCGUAUGUAGAAAGCUGAAACUGGAUCCCUUCCUUACGCCUUGUACAAAAAUUAAUUCAAGAUGGAUUAAAGACUUAAACGUUAGACCUAAAACCAUAAAAACCCUAGAAGAAAACCUAGGCACUACCAUUCAGGACAUAGGCAUGGGCAAGGACUUCAUGGCUAAAACACAGAAAGCAAUGGCAACAAAAGCCAAAAUUGACAAAUGGGAUCUAAUUAAACUAAAGAGUUUCUGCACAGCAAAAGAAACUACCAUCAGAGUCAACAGGCAACCUACAAAACGGGAGAAAAUUUUCGCAACCUACUCAUCUGACAAAGGGCUAAUAUCCAGAAUCUACAAUGAACUCAAACAAAUUUACAAGAAAAAAACAAACAA